Molecule: non-coding RNA, 21 nt
Filed under: Caenorhabditis elegans
Lineage: Eukaryota; Metazoa; Nematoda; Chromadorea; Rhabditida; Rhabditidae
Source: RNAcentral
CAAACUGUAUUAAAAAUAACC